Molecule: ribosomal RNA, 2717 nt
Filed under: Planctomycetaceae bacterium BBD 1991-11
Lineage: Bacteria; Pseudomonadati; Planctomycetota; Planctomycetia; Planctomycetales; Planctomycetaceae
Description: bacterial LSU rRNA
Rfam family: Bacterial large subunit ribosomal RNA
Source: RNAcentral
GGAAGGGCACACGGCGGAUGACUUGGCGUCAAGAGGCGAUGAAGGACGUGGAUACCUGCGAUAAGCCUGGGGAAGCUGGUAACGAGCUGUGAUCCCAGGAUUUCCGAAUGGGGAAACCCGGCCCUUGUGGUCACUGCACACUGAAUGCAUAGGUGUGUAGAGCGAACGUGGGGAACUGAAACAUCUCAGUACCCACAGGAAAGGAAAGCAACAGCGACUCCGUGAGUAGCGGCGAGCGAAACCGGAUUGAUGUGAGACUCGUGAACGCGUUGGAAUGCGCGGCCGCAGAAGGUGAAAGCCCUGUAGCGGGAGGUAGCAUCUCAGCCCUUGAGUAGGUUCGGGCUCGUGGAACCCGGAUUGAACAUGGGAGGUCCACCUCCCAAGGCUAAGUACUCCUUGACGACCGAUAGUGAAUCAGUAAGGUGACUGAAUGUUUAAAAGCACCCCUAUGAGGGGAGUGAAAGAGUCCCUGAAACCGUGUGCCUACAAGCUGUCGGAGCCCUCCGGGGUGACGGCGUGCUUUUUGCAUAAUGAGCCCGCGAGUUAGCCUUUGCGGCGAGCCUAAGGACCCCCGGUCCGGAGGCGGAGCGAAAGCGAGUCUGAACAGGGCGUUCAGUCGCAGGGGCUAGACACGAAACCCGUGUGAUCUACCCAUGGCCAGGGUGAAGGUGGGGUAAGACCUGCUGGAGGCCCGAACCGGUUGUCGUUGAAAAGACAUCGGAUGAGCUGUGGGGAGGGGUUAAAGUCCAAUCAAACCGGGAGAUAGCUUGUUCUCUCCGAAAUAACUUUAGGGUUAGCCUCAGGUGGCAACAGUUGGGGGUAGAGCUACUGGAUCGGUGGUGGGCCCUACCCGGGUACCCCAUCGAACCAAACUCCGAAUACCAACUGCCAAGGCCUGGGAGAUAGACCGCGAGUGACAAUAUCCGUGGUCAAAAGGAAAAGAAUCCAGACCGCCGGCUAAGGUCCCAGAUCACUGCUUAGUUCAUAAGGAAGUCAGGUUGCCGUGACAUCCAGGAUGUUGGCUUAGAAGCAGCCACCAUUUAAAGAGUGCGUAAUAGCUCACUGGACGAGGAAUCUGGCGCCGAUAAUGAUCGGGAAUAAGCAGUGAACCGAAGCCGCGGACUUCGUAAGAAGUGGUAGGAGAGCGUUGUUCGUGCGGCGAAGCGAUCCGGAAACGGUUCGUGGAGCGCGAACAAGUGCAUAUGCGGGCUUGAGUAACGAUAAAGAGGGUGAGAAUCCCUCUCGCCGUAAGCACAAGGGUUCCUGGGGAAGGUAAAUCCGCCCAGGGUUAGCCGGGACCUAAGGCGAGGCCGAAAGGCGUAGUCGAUGGAUAGCAGGUUAAUAUUCCUGCGCCCGCUGGGUAACGGAUCGUGGAUGUCCCCCGCCUUACCGGAUUGGUAGGCCUUCGGGCCGUGGGGGGUUGAAGCGGUUCCCAGAAAAAACCAGCUUGCCCGUACCAAAACUGACACAGGUGUGCGAGGCGAAUAGCCUCAGGCGCUCGAGAGAACGGUCGCGAAGGAACUAGGCAAAAUCACCCCGUACGUUCGCAAGAAGGGGGCCCUUCGGGGCGCAGAGAAGAGGCUCUGGGAACUGUUUAUCAAAAACACAGCACUGUGCCAAUUCGCAAGAUGAUGUAUACAGUGUGACGCUUGCCCAAUGCCGGAAUGUCACGGAAGUGGGUUAGGUUUAUCCGAAGCUCAUGACCUAAGCACCGGUCAAUGGCGGCCGUAACUAUGACGGUCCUAAGGUAGCGAAGUUCCUUGUCGGGUAAGUUCCGACGCGCAUGAAUAGCGUAAUCACCGGAGCACUGUCUCCGCGACCGACUCGGUGAAAUAGUAGUGGCGGUGAAGAUGCCGCCUACCCGCGGCAAGACGGAAAGACCCCGUGGACCUUUACUGCAGGCUCAUAUUGGUCACGAGCACAGGACGCGUAGGAUAGGUGGGAGGCUUUGAAGUCGGCGUUUCGGCGUUGAUGGAGCCGUUGGUGAAAUACCACCCUUCUUGAGUUUGUGGCCUAACCCCGAUUCCCUUGAACCAGGGCGGGGGACCGUGUGUGCCGGGUAGUUUGACUGGGGCGGUCUCCUCCUAAAGAGUAACGGAGGAGCGCAAAGGUCGGCUCAGCGCGGAUGGAAACCGCGUUUUAGAGUGUAAGAGCACAAGCCGGCUUUACUGCGAGUCCGACAGGACGAGCAGUCUCGAAAGAGGGCUCUAGUGAUCCUGCGAUCGCGCGUGGAAGCGUCGUAGCUCAUCGGAUAAAAGGUACCCCGGGGAUAACAGGCUUAUCGCACCCGAGCGUCCAUAGCGGCGGUGCGGUUUGGCACCUCGAUGUCGGCUCAUCACAUCCUGGGGCUGAAGGCGGUCCCAAGGGUUCGGCUGUUCGCCGAUUAAAGUGGUACGCGAGCUGGGUUCAGACCGGCGUGAGCCAGGUCGGUCCCUAUCUGCCGUGGGCGUUGCAAGCUUGAGAGGAGUCAACCUUAGUACGAGAGGAUUGGGUUGGACCGACCCCUGGUGAUCCUGUUGCGCCGCCCGGCGCACCGCAGGGUAGCUACGUCGUGCAGGGAUAACCGCUGAAAGCAUCUAAGCGGGAAGCCCCCCUCGAGAUCAGGCUUGCUUGCUUCGUGCGUGAGACCCCCGGGAGACGACCGGGUUGAUAGGCCGCAGGUGUAAGGGUUGAGAGGCCCUCAGCUGAGCGGUACUAAUGGUCGAAGGUUUGAUCAC